RNAcentral lists this ribosomal RNA (496 nucleotides) under uncultured bacterium. RNAcentral's name for it is "partial 16S ribosomal RNA". It matches the Rfam family "Bacterial small subunit ribosomal RNA", at positions 29 to 507 of the family's 1533-position model. The record is from RNAcentral.
AUGCACGCUGGCGGCGUGCCUCAUACAUGCCAGUCGAGCGCACAGACGAGGAGCUUGCUCCUCUGACGUUAGCGGCGGACGGGUGAGUAACACGUGGAUAACCUACCUAUAAGACUGGGAUAACUUCGGGAAACCGGAGCUAAUACCGGAUAAUAUAUUGAACCGCAUGGUUCAAUAGUGAAAGACGGUUUUGCUGUCACUUAUAGAUGGAUCCGCGCCGCAUUAGCUAGUUGGUAAGGUAACGGCUUACCAAGGCGACGAUGCGUAGCCGACCUGAGAGGGUGAUCGGCCACACUGGAACUGAGACACGGUCCAGACUCCUACGGGAGGCAGCAGUAGGGAAUCUUCCGCAAUGGGCGAAAGCUUGACGGAGCAACGCCGCGUGAGUGAUGAAGGUCUUCGGAUCGUAAAACUCUGUUAUUAGGGAAGAACAAAUGUGUAAGUAACUAUGCACGUCUUGACGGUACCUAAUCAGAAAGCCACGGCUAACUACGUG